GAUGAACGCUGGCGGCGUGCUUAACACAUGCAAGUCGAACGAACCUUCGGGUUAGUGGCGGACGGGUGAGUAACGCGUGAGAAUCUGCCCUCAGGAGGGGGAUAACGGUUGGAAACGACCGCUAAUACCCCAUAUGCCUACUGGUGAAAUGAAUUUCGCCUGAGGAUGAGCUCGCGUCUGAUUAGCUAGUUGGUGAGGUAAUGGCUCACCAAGGCUUCGAUCAGUAGCUGGUCUGAGAGGAUGAUCAGCCACACUGGGACUGAGACACGGCCCAGACUCCUACGGGAGGCAGCAGUGGGGAAUUUUCCGCAAUGGGCGAAAGCCUGACGGAGCAACGCCGCGUGAGGGACGAAGGCCUCUGGGCUGUAAACCUCUUUUCUCAAGGAAGAAGAUAUGACGGUACUUGAGGAAUAAGCCACGGCUAAUUCCGUGCCAGCAGCCGCGGUAAUACGGGAGUGGCAAGCGUUAUCCGGAAUUAUUGGGCGUAAAGCGUCCGCAGGCGGCUUUUCAAGUCUGCUGUUAAAGCGUGGAGCUUAACUCCAUCAUGGCAGUGGAAACUGAAAGGCUUGAGUAUGGUAGGGGCAGAGGGAAUUCCCGGUGUAGCGGUGAAAUGCGUAGAUAUCGGGAAGAACACCAGUGGCGAAGGCGCUCUGCUGGGCCAUUACUGACGCUCAUGGACGAAAGCCAGGGGAGCGAAAGGGAUUAGAUACCCCUGUAGUCCUGGCCGUAAACGAUGAACACUAGGUGUCGGGGGAAUCGACCCCUUCGGUGUCGUAGCUAACGCGUUAAGUGUUCCGCCUGGGGAGUACGCACGCAAGUGUGAAACUCAAAGGAAUUGACGGGGGCCCGCACAAGCGGUGGAGUAUGUGGUUUAAUUCGAUGCAACGCGAAGAACCUUACCAGGGUUUGACAUCCUGCGAACCUCUUAGAAAUUUGAGGGUGCCUUCGGGAAUGCAGUGACAGGUGGUGCAUGGCUGUCGUCAGCUCGUGUCGUGAGAUGUUGGGUUAAGUCCCGCAACGAGCGCAACCCACGUUUUUAGUUGCCAGCAUUUAGUUGGGCACUCUAGAAAGACCGCCGGUGAUAAACCGGAGGAAGGUGUGGAUGACGUCAAGUCAUCAUGCCCCUUACACCCUGGGCUACACACGUACUACAAUGCUACGGACAAAGGGCAGCAAACUCGCGAGAGCUAGCAAAUCCCAUAAACCGUGGCUCAGUUCAGAUCGUAGGCUGCAACUCGCCUACGUGAAGUAGGAAUCGCUAGUAAUCGCAGGUCAGCAUACUGCGGUGAAUACGUUCCCGGGCCUUGUACACACCGCCCGUCACACCAUGGAAGUUGGCCACGCCCGAAGCCGUUACUCCAACCCUUGUGGAGGAGGACGUCGAAGGUGGGGCUAAUGACUGGGGUG
This 1407-nucleotide ribosomal RNA is filed under the name uncultured marine bacterium. Its description in RNAcentral is "bacterial SSU rRNA". It matches the Rfam family "Bacterial small subunit ribosomal RNA". The record is from RNAcentral.